Molecule: ribosomal RNA, 1076 nt
Filed under: uncultured stramenopile
Lineage: Eukaryota
Description: SSU rRNA
Rfam family: Eukaryotic small subunit ribosomal RNA
Source: RNAcentral
CGGUAAUUCCAGCUCCAAUAGCGUAUAUUAAAGUUGUUGCAGUUAAAAAGCUCGUAGUUGAAUUUCUGAUAGAAGGGAGCGGUUCCGCAUUCUUGCGGAUACUGGCUCGUCUUCCGUCAUCCUUGGGCUUAGUCUCGCUGAUAUUAACUUAUCGGCGUGUACGAUGCCCAUCGUUUACUGUGAGCAAAUUAGAGUGUUCAAAGCAGGCAUUUUGCCAUUGAAUAUAUUAGCAUGGAAUAAUAAGAUAGGAUUUCACGAUUUUAUUUUGUUGGUUUGCGUUGUGAAAUAAUGAUUAAGAGGGACAGUUGUGGGUAUUCGUACUCAGAUGUCAGAGGUGAAAUUCUUAGAUUAUCGGAAGACGAACGACUGCGAAAGCAUUUACCAAGGAUGUUUUCAUUAAUCAAGAACGAAAGUAUGGGGAUCGAAGAUGAUUAGAUACCAUCGUAGUCUAUACCAUAAACUAUGCCGACUCAGGAUCGGCGGGUCAAUUUUUUUUGCUCGUCGGCACUGUAUGAGAAAUCAAAGUCUUUGGGUUCCGGGGGGAGUAUGGUCGCAAGGCUGGAACUUAAAGAAAUUGACGGAAGGGCACCACCAGGAGUGGAACCUGCGGCUUAAUUUGACUCAACACGGGAAAACUUAUCAGGUCCAGACAUAAUGAGGAUUGACAGAUUGAGAGCUCUUUCUUGAUUUUAUGGGUGGUGGUGCAUGGCCGUUCUUAGUUGGUGGAGUGAUUUGUCUGGCUAAUUCCGUUAACGAACGAGACCCCAGCCUGCUAAAUAAUCACGCGAAUGAUUCUUCAUUGGCGAUGGUUUCUUAGAGGGACAUGUUCGAACAACGAACAGGAGGAUUGGGGCAAUAACAGGUCUGUGAUGCCCUUAGAUGUUCUGAACCGCACGCGUGUUACACUGAUGCAUUCAACGAGCUAUUAACCUUGGCCGAGAGGCCUGGGAAAUCUUGGAACGUGCAUCGUGAUAGGGAUUGAUUAUUGCAAUUUUUAAUCAUGAACGAGGAAUUCCUAGUAAACGCAGAUCAUCAAUCUGCAUUGAUUACGUCCCUGCCCUUUGUACACACCGCCC